Molecule: ribosomal RNA, 1131 nt
Filed under: Triticum aestivum (bread wheat)
Lineage: Eukaryota; Viridiplantae; Streptophyta; Magnoliopsida; Poales; Poaceae
Description: partial small subunit ribosomal RNA
Source: RNAcentral
AUGCGGGAAAUGCUCGAUCCUCCGCCGCGCCGCGGCCCGGCCUUCAAGACGAAGCUGUGCGCGCUGUGGAGGCGCGGCCCCUGCCCCCGCGGCCCCUCCUGCGGCUUCGCCCACGGCGAAGGCGAGCUCCGCACGCCGCCUCCCCACUCCACCUUCCCGCCGCGCGCUGGACCUGGGGGGCGAGAUCAUAGAAUUCAUGAAUUUAGAGGCAGGCCUGAGAGAAGAAACUCACCCCGGCGGAGGUAUUCCCCUGACAGAGAUACCAGAGGCCAUUUGUUUCGUAACAAGAUGCCACCACAUUCUCGAGGAUCUAGUCAAUCAAGAUCUCCCAUCAGGAAGAGUGAGAGAAGGCCUAAGAAGAAAGUUGAUGGUGAUAAAAGUGAUUCAUCAGGAAGUUUCAACACCUCUGAAAAUGAAGAUAGAAAAAAAGAUGACAUACAUUCCAGCAGUGAUGAGAAGGAUGACGGCGAAGCAAAGCUGAAACAAAUUGCACUGGAUAUGAAAGCAUUGCAUGAAGAUAAAUCUAAACUACAGACGAUAUUGGACAAGAAAAUCGACGAAGCAGGCAUACUUUCUGGCAGAGUAGAUGAUCUUGAAUCACAGUUGAACAAAGAGAAAGAAGAUUGUGAAAGGAUGACCUCCAAAAUAAAGAAACUCAUCAAAGCAUAUGGGCGUUACGUGAAAGCACAGGAUGAUUUAAAAAGGUCUCAAGGCCGUUUUGAGAGGUUGGCUGAUUCGCUUGCUUCUGAUUCCUUGAAAUCUGGUACCAAAGAACAAGGGUCGAGUGUGAAUGCUGGUAAUGAUGACCCAUAUAAUGCUUAUGAAAUGAGCCCAGAUGAUCAGCGACAGAAGAAUGGUUCAGCAGCUAGAAAAAGAUCUGCUGCCCUUUCAACAAGCGAAGAAGAAAAAACUGGAAAGAAAAGGAGAGUGAAUGGUGACGAUAUGAUCCACGUGUCAGGGAAAUAUAGAUCAGAAGAUGCUCUGGAGUCUUUGAAAAAUAGCAAAGGAACUGAAUCUCUGAAGAAAUUAGGGGAUGAUGACAAUAAUGACGAACUAAAUGUCAUUUCUUCUGGCAAUGAUUUUACAGACAGGUACAAUGGCAACGAGGAGGAUGAUCCUGUGGACUUGUAG